CCGAUUUUAUUAUUUAAUUUAUGGGUCAAGCCUUUGCAGUCAUUCUUAUCUCAUUCCCAAUGAUCAGUGUUUUAGUUUAAUAUGUUGCUGUCCAGCGGUUCAGAAUUUGCGAUGCACCCGACUGUCCACAUUUUUCUGUGCAAUAGUCUUUUGAUUUGAACAUCUGAAGAGUUUUGGUGUGUGCACUAGGCUAUUUGAUUUAAUUUAUAUAUGUUACAGCACUUUGGUUUCACUACUAAAUAUGUUGAAAUGGAACCAGUCUUCAGUCUUUUUUAAAUUGGAAAGAUGGGCGAUAUGGGCUACGAUAUAGGUUGGAUGUGAUAGCCUGAGUAGGCCUAUAACUCCAUUCCUAUUUUAUUCAGAGUAUAGAUAAAUUAAUAAAAUUGGAAAUAAGCUAUUAUCAGGCUUGAAAUGCGAUACGUCUAUUGAAAAAAAUCCACCCUCAUUUGGCCCCGCCCCACCUUCUCAGCCAGUCAGGAGCCGCUACUGCGUUGCGGCCGUGGCAUACUUUUUACUAAACGGUACGUGCUAAAUAGUAUGCAGUUUAAGUAUGUAGUAUACUAGUAUGGGUAUUCAGACACAGCCAGUGUAUUUGAGAAUUUUCAAAUACAUGUCAAUACUUUCCAAGUGUAUUUCCAAAUACCUUCCAAUAUUCAACUACUUGUCUUUUCAAAUAAAACAUAUCUGAAUACUUACUUUGAAAUGUAUGUGAAAUAGUAUUUGAAAUAUUAUUUGAACCCAAAACUGGAUCAAAUGGAUACCAACAUGUUUCGCAGAGAUGUACACCAUUACAAUCAAAUACAUGGAGUUUUAUUUUUUUUAAAUCACUAUUGGAAGACGCUGUAUUUAGUUGAGAAGUUGCAAUAUUGCUCCCCUGUGCCUUUGAGUAUUUAUCCACUUCAAUCAAUCAAAUGUAUUUAUAAAGCCCUUUUUACAUCAGCCGAUGUCACAAAGUGCUUGCUCCUAUCUGACCUCCGUGCCUGUUAUUGCUAAAGGAAUCGGUUUACUCAAUCUAUGAAGUAAGUCAUGAAUAACUGGUUAUACCACAUGCCAAUGAAAGCAAUGCUAGGUAUUUAAGAUCUUCUUUUUACAACUCCUCCCUACAGUCCAACCUGUUACCUUGAAUUUGUGAUUUUGCGACACAUGUAGUUCAAAUAAAGAUAUUACAUUUUACACAGCCCUGCCCUCUCCAUAGGAGUUUCGGAUUUACUCGCUGCUCAGAGGGUUAUGACUCUAAUCUAGUGGGAAAGGAGUGAGAAAGGUGACGAUGUCAUGUUUUGUGAUGUCAUCUGUAUAGUUUGAGCAGACCUCUUGGUUCUUUGCUCUUGUGUGAUUGCUGUGAUUUAUUAAAUACAGUAUAUCGUAC
Oncorhynchus tshawytscha (Chinook salmon) is the source of this 1366-nucleotide long non-coding RNA. The record is from Ensembl. NCBI's taxonomy places the organism in Eukaryota, Metazoa, Chordata, Actinopteri, Salmoniformes, Salmonidae.